Bos taurus (domestic cattle) is the source of this 921-nucleotide long non-coding RNA. NCBI's taxonomy places the organism in Eukaryota, Metazoa, Chordata, Mammalia, Artiodactyla, Bovidae. The record is from Ensembl.
AAGACACACUUUCAGUUCACCUGUGUUCUCUUUAUGCUUUCAGAUCAAACUCCAUCCAGUGACUGCUCGACAUCAUGGCCCCAAACCCAGGAAAGCAUGAAGUCUUGAUAAGGAGCUGAAAACACCAGCUGAGCAUCCUCACUGUGUAUUAUGGACUCUCUAACCUGUGGUCAUGUGCACCAUUCAUUUGCAUCGGAAUUUUGGUCUUAGGCCUAUUUUUGUGCUUAGGCAGAUUCUUUAACACUGAGCCUCCAGAGAAGCCAUGAGGAAACACAGGGACUUCUCAGAGGAACAGAACAUUCACUGAGAAUCCUUAACCCCGGGGAGGUGCCUAUCCAAUCUGUGAUGCCCAAGGCAAGAUCAGCUUGGGAACAGGGUGGUGUAUGUCCACAAAGAGAAUGCUGCAGAGGAUGCUGGAUCCUGGAAAUGACGUCCAGGGAUUCCACAGGGAAUGGUCUGAUAUACCUCAGGAUCUUAGAGAUGUGCCCUGCACUUCCAUGGCAAUGAUUACCACUGACCCACCAUGAGGAGGCUUGCCCAGGGGCUGCAUCAAGUCCUGCUGGCUCCACCUGAAGCACCAUGGCCCGGAAGUCGCUCCUGCCUUUUGAUGCCAGGCACAGCCUUAACCUGUGUCUCUGCUGCCUCCACACUUUUGAACCUGCCUGAACCUGGGGAUGCUGGCGGAUGUUGCAUCUUUCCUGGCUACUACUUAUUUGUUGUGUUAUUCGGAUCUCAUACUCUGUCCCUCUCUCCCCUGGAAAUUGUUUUGUUUUCAAGACACCUCAGAGAAUUGGCAGCUCAAUUGGAAAUGGAAGGAUUUGUGUACCUUUUUUAAGUUUCUACCUCUGUCACUCUUAAUAAAGGCAGUGAGAAAAUAAACUAAAUAUUAGAAGAAAAAAAAAAAGAAAAGAAAGAAAGAAA